This 480-nucleotide ribosomal RNA is filed under the name uncultured bacterium. RNAcentral describes it as "partial 16S ribosomal RNA". It matches the Rfam family "Bacterial small subunit ribosomal RNA", at positions 28 to 507 of the family's 1533-position model. The record is from RNAcentral.
GACGAACGCUGGCGGCGCGCUUAACACAUGCAAGUCGAGCGAUGAAACUUUAACAGAACCCUUCGGGGCGAAGAUAAAGUGGAUUAGCGGCGGACGGGUGAGUAACACGUGAGUAACCUGCCUUAGUCAUUGGGAUAGCCUCGGGAAACCGGGAUUAAUACCAAAUAAAAUCAUAAUGACACAUGUCAUAACGAUCAAAACUCCGGUGGUCUAAGAUGGACUCGCGUCCCAUUAGCUAGUUGGUAGAGUAAAAGCCUACCAAGGCGACGAUGGGUAGCCGGCCUGAGAGGGUGAACGGCCACAUUGGAACUGAGAAACGGUCCAAACUCCUACGGGAGGCAGCAGUGGGGAAUAUUGCACAAUGGAGGGAACUCUGAUGCAGCGACGCCGCGUGAACGAAGAAGGCUUUCGAGUCGUAAAGUUCUUUUAUAUGGGAAGAUAAUGACGGUACCAUAAGAAAAAGCCCCGGCUAACUACGUG